GACGAACGCUGGCGGCGUGCUUAACACAUGCAAGUCGAACGGAAAGGCCCUGCUUUUGUGGGGUGCUCGAGUGGCGACCGGGUGAGUAACACGUGAGUAACCUGCCCUUGACUUUGGGAUAACUUCAGGCAACUGGGGCUAAUACCGGAUAGGAGCUCCUGCUGCAUGGUGGGGGUUGGAAAGUUUCGGCGGUUGGGGAUGGACUGGCGGCUUAUCAGCUUGUUGGUGGGGUAGUGGCUUACCAAGGCUUUGACGGGUAGCCGGCCUGAGAGGGGGACCGGCCAAAUUGGGACUGAGAUACGGCCCAGACUCCUACGGGAGGCAGCAGUGGGGAAUAUUGCACAAUGGGCGGAAGCCUGAUGCAGCAACGCCGCGUGCGGGAUGACGGCCUUCGGGUUGUAAACCGCUUUCGCCUGUGACGAAGCGUGAGUGACGGUAAUGGGUAAAGAAGCACCGGCUAACUACGUG
RNAcentral lists this ribosomal RNA (468 nucleotides) under uncultured bacterium. Its description in RNAcentral is "partial 16S ribosomal RNA". It matches the Rfam family "Bacterial small subunit ribosomal RNA", at positions 28 to 507 of the family's 1533-position model. The record is from RNAcentral.